This 440-nucleotide ribosomal RNA is filed under the name uncultured bacterium. Its description in RNAcentral is "bacterial SSU rRNA". It matches the Rfam family "Bacterial small subunit ribosomal RNA", at positions 339 to 796 of the family's 1533-position model. The record is from RNAcentral.
CUACGGGAGGCAGCAGUCGGGAAUUUUGGGCAAUGGGCGAAAGCCUGACCCAGCAACGCCGCGUGAAGGAUGAAGUAUUUCGGUAUGUAAACUUCGAAAGAAUGGGAAGAAUAAAUGACGGUACCAUUUAUAAGCUCCGGCUAACUACGUGCCAGCAGCCGCGGUAAUACGUAGAGAGCAAGCGUUGUUCGGAUUUACUGGGCGUAAAGGGCGCGUAGGCGGCGUGUUAAGUCAGCUGUGAAAUCUCCGAGCUUAACUCGGAACGGCCAGCUGAUACUGAUGUGCUAGAGUGCAGAAGGGGCAAUCGGAGUUCUGGGUGUAGCGGUGAAAUGCGUAGAUAUCAAGAGGAACACCUGAGGUGAAGACGGGUUGCUGGGCUGACACUGACGCUGAGGCGCGAAAGCCAGGGGAGCAAACGGGAUUAGAAACCCGAGUAGUCC